GCAUCGGUGGUUCAGUGGUAAAAUAUUCGCCUGCCACGCGGGCGGCCCGGGUUCAGUUCCCGGCCGAUCCA
Stegodyphus mimosarum is the source of this 71-nucleotide non-coding RNA. The record is from Rfam. Lineage: Eukaryota; Metazoa; Arthropoda; Arachnida; Araneae; Eresidae.